This 449-nucleotide ribosomal RNA is filed under the name uncultured bacterium. Its description in RNAcentral is "bacterial SSU rRNA". It matches the Rfam family "Bacterial small subunit ribosomal RNA", at positions 1029 to 1500 of the family's 1533-position model. The record is from RNAcentral.
CGGUGACAGGUGCUGCAUGGUUGUCGUCAGCUCGUGCCUUGAGGUGUUCGGUUAAGUCCGUGAACGAGCGCAACCCAUGUCCUGUGUUGUUUUUUCACAGGAGACUGCCGAUUCAAAGUCGGAGGAAGGUAUGGACGACGUCAAAUCAGCAUGGCCCUUAUGCCUAGGGCUGCACAGGUGCUACAAUGGCUAAUACAAUAGGUAGCAAUAUCGUAAGAUGGAGCCAAUCCCAAAAGUUAGUCUAAGUUCGGAUUGAGGGCUGCAAUUCGCCCUCAUGAAGUUGGAAUCGCUAGUAACCGUGAAUCAGCAAUAUCACGGUGAAUAUGUUCCUGGGUCUUGUACUCACCGCCCGUCACACUACGGAAGGUGGAGGCACCCGAAGUACCCUUAGCUUUGAGCGGGGUCCUAAGGUGAAAUCACUGACUGGAGUGAAGUCGUAACAAGUAACC